UUUAAUUAAAAUGAGAUGUUACGUGGUUCAGUUUUUCCUUAGCCACAUAUUCGGAUUUAAUCACCUUCAGUCACCUAAUUUUAUUCAGCCACGUAUCACUCACUGCUAUCACAUUUAAAUUCACCCAAAUAACCUGCUAGGUUUCAUUUCAUCAAAAUUUAGGUUUCAUUUCAUCAAAAUUUUCCAGAGCACAAAUUUCAUUUCAUCAAAAUUUAGGUUUCAUUUCAUCAAAAUUUUCCAGAGCACAAAUUUCAUUCACGUUAACAGACUUCUCAUUUCUGAUAUUUCCUUCACAAAACUUCAAUUGGCAAUUUUAUUGUUUCUGUGAGAUUUCAUGUUUUAAUUCAUCACAGCAAAUUACUACGUUUUUCUUUCAUUCUCAUUUAUUUUGUGAAACAAAACAAGCCCAUUAAACCAAACCCCUCUGUACAUAUGCACAUAACCAAAAUUCCUUAAAAAGAAAAUCUUUUAUAAGAAAUCAUUUUGGAUAAAUUCCUUUACGUAAGUAUUUGACAAACACUACAG
RNAcentral lists this long non-coding RNA (525 nucleotides) under Salvia miltiorrhiza (redroot sage). RNAcentral describes it as "long non-coding RNA (SMIL_LNC008357)". Lineage: Eukaryota; Viridiplantae; Streptophyta; Magnoliopsida; Lamiales; Lamiaceae. The record is from RNAcentral.